GAUCACGUGGGAAUGAAGGUAGAGAGAAAGAAUGAUUACCAGCCUUGCGGUGAAGUAAGAAAAAGUGGAUUUCGUAGGGGAAGAAGUGGAGCAUGUCAAUCAUGUCUUGGAAGUUGAGUAUCUCUGUGUUGAAAAAUGGUGUCUUAGGCCUUCGACUAUUUUUCCAGUGCGCUUGUUUCCUCGAGGUAAAAGAUAAAAAUGUUAUAAAAUAGUUCACGUUGUUUGUACAUGAACUGGAAUAUUUCGAGGGAGAUCAAACGAUCAUUUAAUCACGAAUCAUUCUUUUUUGUUUGUUUAAAUCAUAGAUGGUAUAGUUCAGUGAAAGAAAUACGUAAUAAGUAAUAGAUGUUGGUUAAGAAAACGCAGGCGUUUCGUUCAGACUCAUUGAGUGAGUACGGCAUGCUGAAAUAGGUAUACGGUGGUGCGGCUCGAUGCUGAUCGCGGAGCUUGACCUGGAGAGGGGGAGCGUAAGGAGAGGGUAGAAUUGGUGUUUGGAGGGGGCUGGCGUUGUCGUUAGUGCCGUAAGUCGACACUCAAGAGCCUAGGACCACUUCACGUGACGGAAGACAGUCGGGGCAAACCAUUUUCGAAUGUGUACAUUAAAAACGAAAGAUAAUAUCGUCAGAUUCUAAAUUACGAGCAAGAAGAAUUGGAUGUUAUUCUACAAUACAACUGAGUUUCGUUAUUUAUGAACGCUCACUCGAAGCGAUAAAACAACACAAGAUCUCAUGCAAGGACUACCUCCUCAUCCUGUCGCGAGAUUUACAUUCUGAAGCAUCGACGCGCAAUUAAGAUACAGUCUAGACUUCGUUCAACUGCACGCUUGGCGGAUACUUUAAAUGGAGGUUUCUAAAAACACAAGCAAGCUUCGAGUGAUAGCCUCGUCGCUUGAAAUUUAGUAUCAUUAUGUGGUCUCUUCGAGGCGGGAUAAUCUCGCGGCAUUGUCGCGAGCGAAAUGACAGCCUGGCUUCGUGUUAACUACACUCCUUCGCGCGAUAAAUUAUGGAACGGCUGCAACAGAGACGGAUAUCUUUCGCAUACACGCUAUUCGAAAGGGGAAGCGUUCAGCCGACGAGAAACAAGAAAUAACGGCGAGCACAGAAGUGGCGAGGAAGAAAAGUAGGACGGGCAACGUCUUCACCUCGAGCAGCCUCGGCCGUUGCUUCUUUUUUCGAG
Bombus pyrosoma is the source of this 1176-nucleotide long non-coding RNA. RefSeq lists it as uncharacterized. The record is from RefSeq and is a predicted model, not a curated record. NCBI's taxonomy places the organism in Eukaryota, Metazoa, Arthropoda, Insecta, Hymenoptera, Apidae. The transcript is spliced from 3 exons.